This 582-nucleotide ribosomal RNA is filed under the name Alternaria brassicicola. RNAcentral's name for it is "eukaryotic LSU rRNA". It matches the Rfam family "Eukaryotic large subunit ribosomal RNA", at positions 1 to 586 of the family's 3401-position model. Lineage: Eukaryota; Fungi; Ascomycota; Dothideomycetes; Pleosporales; Pleosporaceae. The record is from RNAcentral.
UUGACCUCGGAUCAGGUAGGGAUACCCGCUGAACUUAAGCAUAUCAAUAAGCGGAGGAAAAGAAACCAACAGGGAUUGCCCUAGUAACGGCGAGUGAAGCGGCAACAGCUCAAAUUUGAAAUCUGGCUCUUUUAGAGUCCGAGUUGUAAUUUGCAGAGGGCGCUUUGGCUUUGGCAGCGGUCCAAGUUCCUUGGAACAGGACGUCACAGAGGGUGAGAAUCCCGUACGUGGUCGCUGGCUAUUGCCGUGUAAAGCCCCUUCGACGAGUCGAGUUGUUUGGGAAUGCAGCUCUAAAUGGGAGGUACAUUUCUUCUAAAGCUAAAUAUUGGCCAGAGACCGAUAGCGCACAAGUAGAGUGAUCGAAAGAUGAAAAGCACUUUGGAAAGAGAGUCAAACAGCACGUGAAAUUGUUGAAAGGGAAGCGCUUGCAGCCAGACUUGCUUGCAGUUGCUCAUCCGGGCUUUUGCCCGGUGCACUCUUCUGUAGGCAGGCCAGCAUCAGUUUGGGCGGUAGGAUAAAGGUCUCUGUCACGUACCUCUCUUCGGGGAGGCCUUAUAGGGGAGACGACAUACUACCAGCCUG